UGGGUUGUGGCUCAGUGGUAGAGCAUUUGCUUGGCAUGCAUGAGGCACUGGGUUUGAUACCCGGUACCACAU
Ictidomys tridecemlineatus (thirteen-lined ground squirrel) is the source of this 72-nucleotide non-coding RNA. Lineage: Eukaryota; Metazoa; Chordata; Mammalia; Rodentia; Sciuridae. The record is from Rfam.